This 253-nucleotide ribosomal RNA is filed under the name uncultured bacterium. RNAcentral describes it as "partial 16S ribosomal RNA". It matches the Rfam family "Bacterial small subunit ribosomal RNA", at positions 524 to 776 of the family's 1533-position model. The record is from RNAcentral.
UACGUAGGGUGCAAGCGUUGUCCGGCAUUAUUGGGCGUAAAGAGCUCGUAGGCGGUUUGUUGCGUCGGCUGUGAAAUCCCGAGGCUCAACCUCGGGUCUGCAGUCGAUACGAGCAAACUAGAGUGUUGCAGGGGAGACUGGAAUUCCUGGUGUAGCGGUGAAAUGCGCAGAUAUCAGGAGGAACACCGGUGGCGAAGGCGGGUCUCUGGGCAACAACUGACGCUGAGGAGCGAAAGCGUGGGGAGCGAACAGG